Zeugodacus cucurbitae (melon fly) is the source of this 206-nucleotide small nucleolar RNA. RefSeq annotates it as small nucleolar RNA U3. Lineage: Eukaryota; Metazoa; Arthropoda; Insecta; Diptera; Tephritidae. The record is from RefSeq and is a predicted model, not a curated record. The transcript has a single exon.
AAGACUAUACUUCACAGGAUCAUUUCUGUAGUCAGUCUUCAUUUACUUUCUUUGUAAAUCGAAAGUAUUUGCACCCUCGAUGAGGUGGUAUAUCGUUUUAUCUGACAGCGUGACGUUUAUGAACUUCAUUUCUAGUUUUCUCUUGUAUUACCGUUGUCAACUGCAGGUACGCAAGCAUUUGCAGAUAUUAUCGGAGAUCCAGUAGA